This 386-nucleotide unclassified non-coding RNA is filed under the name rhizosphere metagenome. RNAcentral describes it as "partial ribosomal RNA internal transcribed spacer region". The record is from RNAcentral.
GUAGGUGAACCUGCGGAAGGAUCAUUAACACGUAUCCAACGUUAAAACCCCCGUGAACUUUCAGCCUGCUCUUGUGCAUGAAAGGCUGCAGCAAUCUCGGUAAAUCAAGUGGGAGAGCAGUUUGAUUCGAGACCUCUGCAUCAUUUCAUGUACAAUCGUAGCGGUAGGAUCAGUGGCAUGGCGUCCCGAGCCUCCAGUGAAUGACAGCGUCACUGGAACAAGUGAGGGAUAACGCUUAAACGGUUGCUAGAGGUCGCUCACCGACCGGCAGACAUGUCACAGGGCCUUGCGCCCCUUAACCACCCCUUCCUUAUUGAUCAGGCCUGCGAUGAAAAUUGCGGCAAAAAAAAACCGAACAACUGUUAACAAUGGAUAUCUUGGUUCUC